GCCAACUUGCCCUCCAUUCAGGACUUAAACACGUCCAGAGUCAGGAAACGGGCAGGAAACAUCACUGCAGAUCCAUUAAACCCUGGUCACAACCUGUUCCAACUUCUCUCCUCUGGUUCAAGAGUUGUUCAGGAGCAUCCGAUGUUGAAAAGCACAUAAUGACAGAAAAACACUCAUCAACAUCGGAAAGGAAGCGCAGACACUGGAUUAAGUGCAGCGGACCGUGAGGCGAUGACUGCCCACAACAUCUUCCGGCCACCCAGCCAGAUCAGCCGGACCAAAUGCCACUGUAAGCAGUGCGACCACCCCAGGAAGAAGGGGAAGAGAGCCGGGCUAAAAGUCAAGCUAAACCAGAUUGGACCUAAGGCUAUACCACUACCCUGUCUACUCCUGGCUAAUGUCCGGUUGACAAAAUAAGACUCAGGCUAACCCAGCAACAGGAAAUCAGAGACUGUUGUGCCCACAUUGGUAGAGUAUCUAUGUUCCCAGGGUCCUAUGUUCCCUGACCCCCAAUCCUAACUCUAGAACUGGGGAACAUAGGACCCUGGGAACAUAGGACCCUUUGUCAUAUUCCCAUUAUGUGCCAUAUAAAUCUGGGGAGCAUAGGACCCUGGGAACAUAGGAAUGACCCCGUCCCACAUCUUUACAGAGACUUGGCUCCACCACAACAUCCCGGAUCAAGCUAUUGCACCUGAUGAUUGCGCCCACAGAACGCAAGACUCCGGUAAGACGAGGGGAGGUGGACUCUGUGUUUAUCAAUGAUGCUUGGUGCUCAAACGUAGUAGAUGGACAUUGUUCCCCAGAUGUCGAAUUUUUAGAGAUGCCAACCAUAUCAUCUGCCCAGAGAAUUCACCAGUGUUUUUGUUGCUACUGUUUACAUUACCCCAGAAUGCACUUCAGGAACUAUAUGAGGUCAUCAGCAGUCACAUGACAAAACAACCGGAUGGUGUUUUUAUUGUAGCUGAUGAGAGAAGAAGAAUCAGAAGAAUCCUUCUGAGAGUAAAUAUGAGUAAAGCUGCUGGGCCUGAUAACAUCCCUGGCCGUGUACUAAAAACAUAUGCCAACCAGCUAGUUGAUGUUAUUACUGACAUUUUUAACAUAUCACUGUCACAGGAGAUUGUUCCUUAAAAGUCUGCAGUGCCUAAAUGACUACCGCCCUGUAGCACUCACCCCCAUUCUAAUGAAGUGCUUUGACAAACUGGUUCUCCAGCAUAUCAAAGACAAUCUGAAUUUCAAACAACGAUGAGACUUCAUAUCAUGAGGAACUAUUUUCUUUCUACCGAUAGUUUCUACAUGAAAUUGCUCACAACAAGGUCUGUGGAUUAUCUUGAGUAACCGGGUCAUGAUUUCUGGAAAGAGACAUGAAGAGGCUGAGUGCCUUAUAGUCCCAUUAUAUUUAAAAAAUGCAGACAUGUUUACAGCCGAUAUCUCUAAAACUUGCCAACUCACACCAAAACAAUCUAGAUGGAUAAAUAGCACUAGAGGUAAAAGGAAAAUAUGUAUUUUUGAUUUCGGGGUGAACUGUCCCUUUAAAUUGGCUCCUAGGUAGAAACCUACAUAUGAAAAUGAUAUGCACCAAUUAUGUCGCUUAUAUUUUGUGACUGGGACUGGGAGAGGCAGCACAGAAAGCUUACGGAGCUGGAAAAAAACGGAGCUGCUGCCCACUGCAGGGACGGCUAGUGGCAGCUGGCUGAAAUCGGCCUGUGUCCUCUCGUGGCUCCUGGCACCACACUGAGGCAAGGCUGUGUGCUUGUUUCUUAUUUUAUGGGGAUAAAAUCUGUUUUUUAAAUUCUGUCUAUCCCACAUCUCCGUCCCUCGUGAAUGUACGUGAAGUCGCAAACAGCUCCUGUUGAGGGAGGGGUAGAACCUAGGCGUCUAUUUGGAGCGGCAUCUCUUCCUGUAUUCACUUGCACUCGGACAUCGGAGUCUUACAAAUUUAGGACUAGCCACAACUUUUCACAUAUAUAUUUUUUAAUUAGAUUGUCCAAAACUGGGGUGGCAGCUGGGGUGGCAAGGCAUUUUUUAGGGUUGGCAGCUGCCAUCCGCACCUGUGUACAAACAUCCAUGGUUCCCACAGGAUCAAUUAUAAUAACUUUGUUUAUCCCUUAAAAUUUCAUCUAGCACCAUCAUCCGGUCAACAUUUUAAUUUGUCCAAUACUU
Molecule: long non-coding RNA, 2160 nt
Organism: Siniperca chuatsi (mandarin fish)
Lineage: Eukaryota; Metazoa; Chordata; Actinopteri; Centrarchiformes; Sinipercidae
Exons: 3
Source: RefSeq, a predicted model, not a curated record